RNAcentral lists this ribosomal RNA (87 nucleotides) under Acanthamoeba sp. Fla19. RNAcentral's name for it is "partial 18S ribosomal RNA". Lineage: Eukaryota; Discosea; Longamoebia; Acanthamoebidae. The record is from RNAcentral.
CAAAACACCACCAUCGGUGCGGUCGUCCUUGGCGUUGGUCUUCAAAAGCCAGCGCGGGGGUGGCUUAGCCCGGUGGCACCGGUGAAU